AAGUAACACAAUAAUUUCAAGAAAACUAAUUUAGUUUGGCGGCAUUUCAUCUUAUCAGAGGAAUUUGUCUUUUAAUCGAUAAUCCGCGCUAAAUUUCACUUAAUUUCAAAAUUUAUAUACCGCCAUCUUAAGAAUUAAUUCAAAAAUAUUCCUCAAAAUAAAACAUAAUAAGUUAGGUCAAGGUGUAGUUUAUAUUUAAGAAUUAGAUGAAUUACAUUAAAUAAAAUUUAAGGAUUAUAAAUAAAAAUCUAAUAUAAAAAAGAAUUUGAAAGUAAUUUCGAAAUAAUAUUUCAAUAUGAAUUAGAUAAUAAAUGUGC
Molecule: ribosomal RNA, 317 nt
Filed under: Hololena sp. CG18
Lineage: Eukaryota; Metazoa; Arthropoda; Arachnida; Araneae; Agelenidae
Description: partial 12S ribosomal RNA
Source: RNAcentral